Macaca fascicularis (crab-eating macaque) is the source of this 104-nucleotide small nucleolar RNA. NCBI's taxonomy places the organism in Eukaryota, Metazoa, Chordata, Mammalia, Primates, Cercopithecidae. The record is from Ensembl.
AUCUUUUUGUGGUUCAUAAGCAUGAUGACUGGGUCUUCACACAAACGUUUAAGAUGUGAGGGAGACACAUCUUAUUAUAAUGUCAGCAUAUUUCCUGUCCAAAG